This 887-nucleotide ribosomal RNA is filed under the name Botryosphaeria dothidea. Its description in RNAcentral is "partial large subunit ribosomal RNA". It matches the Rfam family "Eukaryotic large subunit ribosomal RNA", at positions 36 to 943 of the family's 3401-position model. Lineage: Eukaryota; Fungi; Ascomycota; Dothideomycetes; Botryosphaeriales; Botryosphaeriaceae. The record is from RNAcentral.
UACAAUACAAUAAGCGGAGGAAAAGAAACCAACAGGGAUUCCCUUAGUAACGGCGAGUGAAGCGGCAACAGCUCAAAUUUGAAAGCUGGCUCCUUUGGAGUCCGCGUUGUAAUUUGUAGAGGAUGAUUCGGCAAGGGCUCCCGCCUAAGUCUCCUGGAACGGAGCGUCAUAGAGGGUGAGAAUCCCGUAUGCGGUGGGCUGCCUAAGCCAUGUGAAUCUCCUUCGACGAGUCGAGUUGUUUGGGAAUGCAGCUCUAAAUGGGAGGUAAAUUUCUUCUAAAGCUAAAUACCGGCCAGAGACCGAUAGCGCACAAGUAGAGUGAUCGAAAGAUGAAAAGCACUUUGGAAAGAGAGUUAAAAAGUACGUGAAAUUGUUGAAAGGGAAGCGCUUGCAGCCAGACUUGUCCGCAGUUGCUCAGCCGGUCUCCUGACCGGUGUACUCUUCUGCGGCCAGGCCAGCAUCAGUUCGGGCGGUCGGAUAAAGACCUCGGGAAUGUAGCUCCUCUCGGGGAGUGUUAUAGCCCGGGGUGGAAUGCGGCCAGCCUGGACUGAGGAUCUCGCUUCGGCUAGGAUGCUGGCGUAAUGGCUGUAAGCGGCCCGUCUUGAAACACGGACCAAGGAGUCUAACAUCUAUGCGAGUGUUUGGGUGUCAAACCCAUGCGCGUAAUGAAAGUGAACGGAGGUGGGAACCCUCACGGGUGCACCAUCGACCGAUCCUGAUGUCUUCGGAUGGAUUUGAGUAAGAGCAUAGCUGUUGGGACCCGAAAGAUGGUGAACUAUGCCUGAAUAGGGUGAAGCCAGAGGAAACUCUGGUGGAGGCUCGCAGCGGUUCUGACGUGCAAAUCGAUCGUCAAAUUUGGGUAUAGGGGCGAAAGACUAAUCGACCAU